RNAcentral lists this ribosomal RNA (400 nucleotides) under uncultured bacterium. RNAcentral's name for it is "partial 16S ribosomal RNA". It matches the Rfam family "Archaeal small subunit ribosomal RNA", at positions 473 to 873 of the family's 1478-position model. The record is from RNAcentral.
AUACCAGCACCCCGAGUGGUCGGGACGAUUAUUGGGCCUAAAGCAUCCGUAGCCGGUUCUACAAGUCUUCCGUUAAAUCCACCUGCUUAACAGAUGGGCUGCGGAGGAUACUAUGGAGCUAGGAGGCGGGAGAGGCAAGCGGUACUUAGUGGGUAGGGGUAAAAUCCGUUGAUCCAUUGAAGACCACCAGUGGCGAAGGCGGCUUGCCAGAAUGCGCUCGACGGUGAGGGAUGAAAGCUGGGGGAGCAAACCGGAUUAGAUACCCGGGUAGUCCCAGCUGUAAACGAUGCAGACUCGGUGAUGGACUAGCUUUAUGCUAGUCCAGUGCCGCAGGGAAGCCGUUAAGUCUGCCGCCUGGGUAGUACGGUCGCAAGACUGAAACUUAAAGGAAUUGACGGGG